This 503-nucleotide ribosomal RNA is filed under the name uncultured bacterium. Its description in RNAcentral is "partial 16S ribosomal RNA". It matches the Rfam family "Bacterial small subunit ribosomal RNA", at positions 29 to 523 of the family's 1533-position model. The record is from RNAcentral.
AACGAACGCUGGCGGCGUGUUUAAGACAUGCAAGUCGCACGGUGUCAUUUUGGUAGCAAUACUUGGAUGGCACAGUGGCGCACGGGUGAGUAACACGUGAAUUACAUGCCCUGUAGAGGGGGAUAGCCCAGGGAAACUUGGAUUAAUACCCCAUGGUCUCGCAAGAGUAAAGGUGGCCGCAAGGCUGUCGCUACAGGAUUGGUUCGCGCCCUAUCAGCUUGUUGGCGGGGUAACGGCCCACCAAGGCUACGACGGGUACCUGGUCUGAGAGGACGAUCAGGCACACUGGAACUGAGACACGGUCCAGACACCUACGGGUGGCAGCAGUCGAGAAUAAUUCACAAUGGGGGCAACCCUGAUGGUGCAACGCCGCGUGGAGGAUGACGGUCUUCGGAUUGUAAACUCCUGUCAUCCGGGAGUAAGACCUGGGCAUGAAUAGUGCACAGGGUUGAUAGUACCGGAAGAGGAAGGAACGGCUAACUUCGUGCCAGCCGCCGCCGUAA